GGCAGAGAGAGAGGGUGUGUGUGGGGCAGAGGGAGAGGGUGUGUGUGGGCAGAGAGAGAGGGUGUGUGUGUGUGUGGGGCAGAGAGAGAGGGUGUGUGUGUGUGGGGCAGAGGGAGAGGGUGUGUGUGUGUGGGGAGAGAGAGAGGGUGUGUGUGUGUGGGGGGCAGAGGGAGAGGGUGUGUGUGGGGCAGAGGGAGAGGGUGUGUGUGUGUGGGGCAGAGGGAGAGGGUGUGUGUGUGUGGGGCAGAGGGAGAGGGUGUGUGUGUGGCAGAGAGAGAGGGUGUGUGUGUGUGUGGGGCAGAGGGAAAGGGUGUGUGUGGGGCAGAGGGAGAGGGUGUGUG
This is a long non-coding RNA of Oncorhynchus tshawytscha (Chinook salmon), 341 nucleotides long. The record is from Ensembl. Lineage: Eukaryota; Metazoa; Chordata; Actinopteri; Salmoniformes; Salmonidae.